UUAGAUCAAUUAAUCUAAUAUGACUUGCUCAUGUCGGUUCACUCUCGACUUGAUUGAGGAGGUUUUGAUUUAGGUCUCAAUUGGGCUUGCUACAUCACAUGUAAACCUAUCUACCCGACUCACAUUCACAUCACAUGCAAACGGCACAUUGCAGGCAGUUAUAAUCGCAGCAAUAAUUAAAGCUAAACUUUAAAUAGGUGAUGAUCAUGGAUUCUAGUUAGGUUGUAUUACAAGCACAUGCACGUCAAUCGAUCAA
Molecule: long non-coding RNA, 256 nt
Filed under: Phoenix dactylifera (date palm)
Lineage: Eukaryota; Viridiplantae; Streptophyta; Magnoliopsida; Arecales; Arecaceae
Description: long non-coding RNA (PDAC_LNC011375)
Source: RNAcentral